CUUAUCCUUCAUGAAUGAGUUGGUUGGGAUGCUUGGAUGGUUUAGUUGUUCAAAUAUGGCUCACAUGAUAUUAAUUGGUUUUGUGCUGUUCCUGUCCUGGAACAUGUAUUUAUUUCCAGUGGAUCUGUUGCAAGUUUGUCUUGAAUUAAUAUUCCACUGCCACCAGGUCAAUAACCUGCAUUCUUAAUGUGUUCUUCUCCAGGGAAAUGGUGACCAGUCAGCAAGUCUAGUAAAAAAUCAACAUGCCUAUGGCGUAUCCUCUAAACAUGAUGGAAGAGAAAAGGAGCUUGCAGAUAUGCUGGAAGAGAAAAAUAGGCCCCUGGGGGCAAUUCAAGCUAAUCAUGAAUUACAGAUAAAGCAAUUGAAUAUGGAACCUGAAAAGGAAUGUGAUAAACUUGGGAAUCUGCAGAUGAGCUUGCAAGAGGAGCACAAGCUGAAUGAGUCUCUUCAGGAGGAGCUUGGAGUUACUGAAAUCAGAGAAGGAUAAAAAAGCAAUGAAGGUAAAAGCUGGAUAUGUUGCAUGAAUCUCCAUUAGAACAACC
Molecule: long non-coding RNA, 542 nt
Organism: Hibiscus syriacus
Lineage: Eukaryota; Viridiplantae; Streptophyta; Magnoliopsida; Malvales; Malvaceae
Exons: 4
Source: RefSeq, a predicted model, not a curated record